This 253-nucleotide ribosomal RNA is filed under the name uncultured bacterium. Its description in RNAcentral is "partial 16S ribosomal RNA". It matches the Rfam family "Bacterial small subunit ribosomal RNA", at positions 524 to 776 of the family's 1533-position model. The record is from RNAcentral.
UACGUAGGGGGCGAGCGUUGUCCGGAAUCACUGGGCGUAAAGCGUCUGUAGGUGGUGAUGCAAGUCACUGGUGCAAAACUCUGGCUCAACCGGAGGAAAGCCAGUGAAACUGCAUGACUAGAGUGUGGGAGAGGUAGAAGGAAUUCCCUGAGUAGCGGUGAAAUGCGUAGAUACAGGGAAGAACACCGGAGGCGAAAGCGUUCUACUGGAACACAACUGACACUGAGAGACGAAAGCUAGGGGAGAGAAUGGG